UAACGCGUGGAUAACCUGCCGUAUGCAGGGGGAUAACAGUUGGAAACAGCUGCUAAUACCGCAUAAGCGCACAGUACCGCAUGGUACGGUGUGAAAAGAUUUAUCGGCAUACGAUGGAUCCGCGUCUGAUUAGCCAGUUGGCGGGGUAACGGCCCACCAAAGCGACGAUCGGUAGCCGGCCUGAGAGGGCGGACGGCCACAUUGGGACUGAGACACGGCCCAAACUCCUACGGGAGGCAGCAGUGGGGAAUAUUGCACAAUGGGGGAAACCCUGAUGCAGCGACGCCGCGUGAGUGAAGAAGUAUUUCGGUAUGUAAAGCUCUAUCAGCAGGGAAGAAAAUGACGGUACCUGACUAAGAAGCCCCGGCUAACUACGUGCCAGCAGCCGCGGUAAUACGUAGGGGGCAAGCGUUAUCCGGAUUUACUGGGUGUAAAGGGAGCGUAGACGGCGCUGCAAGUCCGGAGUGAAAGCCCAUGGCUUAACCAUGGUACUGCUCUGGAAACUGUGGAGCUUGAGUGCGGGAGGGGCAGGCGGAAUUCCUAGUGUAGCGGUGAAAUGCGUAGAUAUUAGGAGGAACACCGGCGGCGAAGGCGGCCUGCUGGACCGUAACUGACGUUGAGGCUCGAAAGCGUGGGGAGCAAACAGGAUUAGAUACCCUGGUAGU
Molecule: ribosomal RNA, 665 nt
Filed under: uncultured bacterium
Lineage: Bacteria
Description: bacterial SSU rRNA
Rfam family: Bacterial small subunit ribosomal RNA
Source: RNAcentral